GGGUACUUUUUAAAUAUUUUUUUAUUAAAAAAUAAAAAACUUCCAAAUCAUUCAUUAGAUAGGGUUAAUUAAAAAAUUUUCUUCUCAUCGAAUUAUCAAAUUGGUGAACCCAUAAUAUUUUAUUAUUUUUUGAUAAAAUAUUUUCAUUCCUUAAUUUCGAUAUUUCCAUCACAUUUUUUUUUUUUUUUGAGAAAAGCAUCAUAUCCCUCUGCUCGUUUGCUACAUCCAUACAUUGGUAGGAAACGAAUUCUCUGUGGUACUCAAAACAGAGGAUGCUGUUCUUUAGUGGAAAUCCAUUUUCCCCUGGAUUGUCACCUUCCUCCUCUUGCACGCUACCUCCUAGCGUCUUCUCGAUCCAGCCACCACUCCACACCAACCACCUCCUGUGCCGGCAUUCUUUCGACCCGACUCCCCUCUCUUUAUUGUGCCGGUCGAAACUAUCACCUCCAAGCUCCUUUUUGAUCCUCUCUCUAUGCCAGUUCUAAUCAGCAUACCGUCCUCUCUCCUUUUUCGCCGACCUAGCCAUCUCUCUAUAUGUGCCCCAUCUAUUCCACUGUCAUCUUUUCCUCACCCACCACCUCUGGACUCCAGCUCCAUCACCAUAAGAUCGAGAAUUGGGA
RNAcentral lists this long non-coding RNA (620 nucleotides) under Elaeis guineensis (African oil palm). RNAcentral describes it as "long non-coding RNA (EGUI_LNC019225)". The record is from RNAcentral. Lineage: Eukaryota; Viridiplantae; Streptophyta; Magnoliopsida; Arecales; Arecaceae.